CUAUACUGCAGUCGAGCGAACUGAUUAGAAGCUUGCUUCUAUGACGUUAGCGGCGGACGGGUGAGUAACACGUGGGCAACCUGCCUGUAAGACUGGGAUAACUUCGGGAAACCGAAGCUAAUACCGGAUAGGAUCUUCUCCUUCAUGGGAGAUGAUUGAAAGAUGGUUUCGGCUAUCACUUACAGAUGGGCCCGCGGUGCAUUAGCUAGUUGGUGAAGGUAACGGCUCACCAAGGGCAACGAUGCAUAGCCGACCUGAGAAGGGUGAUCGGCCACCACUGGGACUGAAACCACGGCCCAAACUCCCUACGGGGAGGCAGCAGUAGGGAAUCUUUCCGCAAUGGACGAAAGUCUGACGGAGCCAACGCCGCCGUGGAGUGUGAUGAAGGCUUUCGGGUCCGUAAAACUUCUGUUUGUUAGGGAAGAACAAGUACCAAGAGUAACUGCGCUUGUACUCUUGACGGUAACUAACCACGAAAGCCACCGGCUUAACUACGUCCCAGACAGCCGCGGUAAUACAUAUGGUGGCAAGGCGUUAUCUCGAAAUUAUUGGGCCUAAAAGCGCGCGCCAGGCGGUUUCUUAACUCUGAUGUGAAACCCCACGGCUCAACCGUGGAGGGUCAUAUGGAAACUGGGAAACUUGAGGGCAAAAAAAAAAAACCGAAUUCCACGUGUAGCGGUGAAAAUGCGGAAAGAUGUGGAGGAACACCAGUGGCGGAAAGGCGGCUUUUUGUGUCUGUAUACUAGACGCUAGAACCGCGAAAGCGUGGAGAACAAAAAAAAUUAGAUACCCUGGUAGUCCACGCCGUAAACGAUGAGUGCUAAGUGUUAGAGGGUAUUCCGCCCUUUAGUGCUGCAGCUAACGCAUUAAGCACUCAGCCUGGGGAGUACGGUCGCAAGACUGAAACUCAAAGGAAUUGACAGGGGCACGCACAAGCGGUGGAGCAUGUGGUUUAAUCUGAAGCAACGCGAAGAACCUCACCAGGUCUUGACAUCCUCUGACAACUCUAGAGAUAGAGCGUUCCCCAUCGAAGGACAGAGUGACAACGUGGUGCAUGGUUGAUAGUCACCUCAGUGUCGUGAGAUGUUGCGUUAAGUCCCGACUUAACGAUCGCGCAACCCUAGAUCGUAGUUGCAACCAUAUAGUUGGCCAUCUCUACAGGUGACUGCCCGUGAACAAACCGGAGGAAGGUGGGGAUGACGUCAAAUCCAUCAUGCCCCUUAUGACCUGGGCUACACACGUGCUACAAUGAAUGGUACAAAGGGCUGCAAGACCGCGAGGUCAAGCCAAUCCCAUAAAACCAUUCUCAGUUCGGAUUGUAGGCUGCAACUCGCCUACAUGAAGCUGGAAUCGCUAGUAAUCGCGGAUCAGCAUGCCGCGGUGAAUACGAUCCCGGGCCUUGUACACACCGCCCGUCACACCACGAGAGUUUGUAACAACCGAAGUCGGUGGAGUAACAGUAAGGAGCUAGCCGACUAAGAGUGGGACAG
RNAcentral lists this ribosomal RNA (1490 nucleotides) under Bacillus sp. BAB-2612. RNAcentral describes it as "bacterial SSU rRNA". It matches the Rfam family "Bacterial small subunit ribosomal RNA". The record is from RNAcentral. Lineage: Bacteria; Bacillati; Bacillota; Bacilli; Caryophanales; Bacillaceae.